UCUGUCUUUAGUUCAGUUCGAGUUCGGCGUGCAGCCGGUUCGUGUCUGUGUUUUGCGUGCAACUUCCGCCUGAUCGACGUUCGUUAUAUAUUCGCGGCUUACGUCGAUACGUCGUCGACCUCUCACAGUGUUUUUGCGUCUUCCUGCAUCCAGAACGCGGUUACCGGGUCAGAUUUUGGAAACAAUCCGGGAAUAUCGAUUGAUCGAGUGACGAGUCGGUCGCGAUAUACCGAUAUCGAAAUAAGAAAAUACAUAGUGGACGAUCAUGGUGUGACUCGAGUGACUAAAUUGAUCUUUCGGAAAGAUCGUUGAGGUUGACCGGUGGUUGUGUGGUGAUUGGUUUUGGUGGUGGUGCUUGAUACGCUCCUGGGAGUCGGAAGCCCGUUGGCACCUGGGCCUCGUUUACAUCGGUUUACUCAUGCUGGGAGUUUUGAAGCGGCGCUGGAAGCCAUCAAAAAGGUGAGUAGUCCUCCAUAUUUUCUUUCUUUUUCCUUUGUUCACAUUUUAAAUUUAUUCGCAGUAUUAAAAUUGUAAAUAAUUUUCUCGCGAAAACUAUAAAAAAAGAUUAAUUCGAUAGUUGUAAAAUAUUCGUUUGGUACCUUGAACUUCUAUGUAAGGUUAGGAUGACGCGGUAAUUAUGAAAUGCAACAAGGUUAUUGUAUGAUAAUUGCGUUUUAAAAUUCUUCC
This is a long non-coding RNA of Apis dorsata (giant honeybee), 687 nucleotides long. RefSeq lists it as uncharacterized. The record is from RefSeq and is a predicted model, not a curated record. Lineage: Eukaryota; Metazoa; Arthropoda; Insecta; Hymenoptera; Apidae. The transcript is spliced from 2 exons.